Molecule: ribosomal RNA, 887 nt
Filed under: uncultured bacterium
Lineage: Bacteria
Description: bacterial SSU rRNA
Rfam family: Bacterial small subunit ribosomal RNA
Source: RNAcentral
AGAGUUUGAUCAUGGCUCAGAACGAACGCUGGCGGCGUGGAUAAGACAUGCAAGUCGAACGGGAUAUCACUUGUAGCAAUACCGGUGAUGUCUAGUGGCGCAAGGGUGCGUAACACGUGGGCAAUCUGCCGGGAAGUGGGGGAUAGCUCGCCGAAAGGCGAAUUAAUACCGCAUAUGGUUAGCGAGGGAAUCUUCGCGACACCAAAGCCGGGGCAACCUGGCGCUUCCUGAUGAGCCCGCGGCCUAUCAGCUAGUUGGUGAGGUAACGGCUCACCAAGGCGAUGACGGGUAGCUGGUCUGAGAGGACGACCAGCCACACUGGAACUGAGACACGGUCCAGACACCUACGGGUGGCAGCAGUCGAGAAUUUUUCUCAAUGGGCGCAAGCCUGAAGGAGCGACGCCGCGUGGAGGAUGAAGGUCUUCGGAUUGUAAACUCCUGUCAUUAGGGAACAAAGUCCCCGGUUAACUGCCGGCGGGCCUGAUAGUACCUGAAGAGGAAGAGACGGCUAACUCUGUGCCAGCAGCCGCGGUAAUACAGAGGUCUCAAGCGUUGUUCGGAUUCAUUGGGCGUAAAGGGUGCGUAGGUGGCGCCGUAAGUCAGGUGUGAAAUCUCGGGGCUCAACCCCGAAACUGCACUUGAUACUGCGGUGCUCGAGUACUGGAGAGGAGAUUGGAAUUUACGGUGUAGCAGUGAAAUGCGUAGAUAUCGUAAGGAAGACCAGUGGCGAAGGCGAAUCUCUGGACAGUUACUGACACUGAGGCACGAAGGCCAGGGGAGCAAACGAGAUUAGAUACCCCGGUAGUCCUGGCAGUAAACGGUGCACGUUUGGUGUGGGAGGAUUCGACCCCUUCCGUGCCGGAGCUAACGCGUUAAACGUGCCGCCU